Molecule: small nucleolar RNA, 135 nt
Organism: Crocodylus porosus (Australian saltwater crocodile)
Lineage: Eukaryota; Metazoa; Chordata; Crocodylia; Crocodylidae
Source: Ensembl
ACUGCCCCUAUAGGCGUUGCAAAGGUGGCUGCUGUGCCAUCUUUGUGUCAUCAGGUGGCAGAGAGAAACAGGCUAUGUCUACGCUCAGUGUUCUGAAACCCGUGAGCACUCAGAAUGAUUAAUAGCCUGACAUCA